GCACAUAGAGAGAGACAGAGACGGAAGCAGCCCGCGUCCGCUGGGUCACUCCCCAAAUGCCUGAAAUAGCUGGCGCUGAGCCAGGACAAAGCCAGCAGCAGGGAACCGAACCCGGGUCUCCCACGGGGGUGGCAGGGACCCCGGGCGCGCAGUCACAGGCAGCUGGAACCAGGAACAGAGCAGAGACUCAAACCCAGGCCCCUGCUACGAGGCGUGGGUGCUGCAACCAGCGGCUCAGCCACCAGAACAACCGCCAGCUCCCGUAAGAGCUGAAAGAAAUAAAGAAUCUCCAGUUUGGGCGGGAACUGCUGACACAACUUUGUCUUCACUUGGAGGGCCUGCUCCACCUACGGCCCCGUGCACGCCACAUGUGCUCCCAGCAUCCCUUGGACAAGGACGCUGUGGCUUGCAGAGUCGUUGUGUGCCCAAUGUCCUAUCACGUGCUCAGGAAAUGACGUGCCAGGAUCUGACCCCGGCGGGCACCUGCACAGCCCAAAGGCUGCGUCUCGAAGCAGCUCCUUCUCCCUGGAAGCCAGCGGGCCCCUGGUUCCUUGGCCUGCGCCACGGGGCAGAUGUGCAGGUAGGGUGGGAUUGCGCAGGGUCCCGGGACCCAGCUUCGGACAAGGAACUGCGCGCUGAGAAAGUCAUUCCCUUCUGAUCGCGCCCGUGCUGCGGGGGGAGUCCGCGUCCACACCUCCCCACGCCACGGAGCCCAGAGAGCAGGUGCCUAGCCCUCGACAUGCCUCCCCGCCCUCUGCGUUUCUCGUCCCGUCCGUUUCUGCAAAGUGGCCCAGAUCCUGCUUCGGAGACAGUGAUGCAGAGGGCACGGCUGGGGUCAUGCGGCUUCUCAGGUGGACGCCGGGGCCGGGUGCGGAGCUGUCUGUGGGUGAUGGACGCCCAGCUGGGAUGGGCUUGAGAAUCAGCUGGCGUGACCCGGAUGUGGAAGGAACAGGUCGCUGUGAGCUGGAACGUUUUGACGCUCAUGGGUAUUAUAAAUAAUUUAAAUAUAAGUCUUUGUAGAUAACUUCUUAUAUGAUAUCGCAAUAUACUUAAUAUCUUAUAUACUCUGGAUAAUACACACAUAUGCAUCACAUAUUUUGCAUAGCUUGUAUUAUAUUAUUCAGUACGCAUUUAAAACUUUCUGGGGGCCGGCGCUGUGGCUUAGAGGGUAAAGCCACCCCCUGCAGUGCCGGCAUCCCACAUGGGUGCCAGUGCUAGUUCCAGCUGCUCUACUUCCGUUCUCGCUCUCUGCUGUGGCCUGGGAAAGCAGCAGAAGAUGCCCAAGUCCUGGGCCCCUGCACCCACGUCGGGGGUAAGGAAGAAGCUCCUGGCUCCUGGCUUCAGAACUGCACAGCUCCGGUUAUUGUGGCCAACUGGGGAGUGAACCAGUGGAUGGACGACCUCUCUCUCUCUCUCUCUCUCUCUCUCUCUCUCUCUCUUUCUCUCCCCCCCCCCCGUAACUUUGCUUUUCAAAUAAAUAAAUCUUUUUCAAAAAAAUUUUUCUGAAA
RNAcentral lists this long non-coding RNA (1508 nucleotides) under Oryctolagus cuniculus (rabbit). Its description in RNAcentral is "lncRNA (ENSOCUG00000033597.1)". The record is from RNAcentral. Lineage: Eukaryota; Metazoa; Chordata; Mammalia; Lagomorpha; Leporidae.